CUACGGGCCGCACCAGUGAGGAAUAUUGGUCAAUGGGCGCGAGCCUGAACCAGCCAUCCCGCGUGCAGGAUGACGGCCCUAUGGGUUGUAAACUGCUUUUCUAUGCCAAGAAACCUGAUUACGUGUAAUCAGUUGCCGGUAGCAUAGGAAUAAGCAUCGGCUAACUCCGUGCCAGCAGCCGCGGUAAUACGGAGGAUGCAAGCGUUAUCCGGAUUCAUUGGGUUUAAAGGGUGCGCAGGUGGGCUUGUAAGUCAGUGGUGAAAUGCUGCCGCUUAACGGUAGAACUGCCAUUGAUACUGCGAGUCUAGAGUAUGGUUGAGGUAGGCGGAAUGUGUUGUGUAGCGGUGAAAUGCAUAGAUAUGACACAGAACGCCAAUUACGAAGGCAGCUUACUAAGCCAUUACUGAUGCUGAGGCACGAAAGCGUGGGGAGCGAACAGGAUUAGAUACCCGCGUAGUC
RNAcentral lists this ribosomal RNA (459 nucleotides) under uncultured bacterium. RNAcentral describes it as "partial 16S ribosomal RNA". It matches the Rfam family "Bacterial small subunit ribosomal RNA", at positions 339 to 795 of the family's 1533-position model. The record is from RNAcentral.